This 661-nucleotide ribosomal RNA is filed under the name Coelotrochus viridis. RNAcentral's name for it is "Trochus viridis partial 12S ribosomal RNA". Lineage: Eukaryota; Metazoa; Mollusca; Gastropoda; Trochida; Trochidae. The record is from RNAcentral.
AAGGGGUUAGAAGAGCUAUAAAUAGAAGAAAGUCUGGUUUAGUUUAUAGAGGUGGAAUUUGUAUAAAUUAGCUUGGUUUUUUAUUUUCUUUAUUUUGAUGCCUCGAAAAUUUAGUAUAAGACCGGGAUUAGAUACCCCGUUAUUUAUUUUUUAAACUUUAAUUGUGUGAUUUACUUGGGGAUUACGAGCAUGUUUACUGGCAAUGAUUGGUUAACAUAUAGCUUAAAACUCAAAAAACUUGGCGGUGCCUUAAUUCCUUCCAGGGGAACCUGUCCUGUAAUCGAUGGUCCACGUUUUAACUUACCUCUUUUUGUAUUGUGGAUUUAAUGUAUUAUCUGCUAACAGUUUGUAUACCGUCGUCGUCAGAUUAUCUUUGAGAGUAGGAGAAGUUGUCGGUAGAAGAUGUCAUUUUGUUGUUUAUUAGUAUUGCCUAUGAAAAUUAGGUGCUGCAGAAUUUAUUGCUGCGUAGUAGAUAAUAAUUGUGUUCUUUUGAUGUCAGAUCAAGGUGCAGCUUAUGAAGAGGUAGAGAUGGGUUACAAUAAAUAUUUAAUAUACGAAUUUUGUUCUGUAAUGUUCAAUUGAAGGUGGACUUGGGAGUAAUGUGGUUAAGAUAGUGAUUUUGAUAGUAGCGAGUCUGCGUGAAUAUGGUACUAAGGUGUGU